AGUAGCGGUGAAAUGCGUAGAUAUCUGGAGGAAUACCAAAGGCGAAGGCAGUCCCCUGGUCCGAUACUGACACUGAGGUACGAAAGCGUGGGGAGCAAACAGGAUUAGAUACCCAGGUAGUCCACGCCCUAAACGAUGUCGAUUAGCCAUUGGAAGGACCCCUUUUCCUUUCAGUGACGUAGCUAACGCGUUAAAUCGACCGCCUGGGAAGUACGACCGCAAGGUUAAAACUCAAAGGAAUUGACGGGGACCUGAACAAGCGGUGAAUGAUGUGGAUUAAUUCGAUGCUACGCGAAGAACCUUACCUACCUUUGACAUGGCCAAAGUUCUACCGAGAGGCGGAAGUACUCGUAAGAGGAUUGGCGCACAGGUGCUGCAUGGUUGUCGUCAGUUCGUGUCGUGAGAUGUUGGGUUCAGUCCCGCAACGAACGCAACCCUUAUCUUUAAUUGCUCCUAUUUUAACAGGCACUUUAAAGAAACUGCCAAUGAUAAGUUGGAGGAAGGUGGGGAUCACGUCAAGUCCGCAUGGCCUUUAUAGGUAGGGCUUCACACGUCAUACAAUGGUUAGAACAAAGAGCUGCAAAUUCGUAAGAAGGAGCCAAUCUCACAAACCUAACCUCAGUUCGAAUUGCGGUCUGCAACUCGAGCGCAUGAAGCCGGAAUCGCUAGUAAUCGUGGAUCAGAAUGCCA
RNAcentral lists this ribosomal RNA (690 nucleotides) under uncultured Candidatus Tremblayella sp. RNAcentral's name for it is "bacterial SSU rRNA". It matches the Rfam family "Bacterial small subunit ribosomal RNA", at positions 674 to 1359 of the family's 1533-position model. The record is from RNAcentral. Lineage: Bacteria; Pseudomonadati; Pseudomonadota; Betaproteobacteria.